RNA transcript from Vicia villosa (hairy vetch), 2657 nucleotides. It is a transcript of the gene named nibrin homolog, with no coding region annotated. The transcript has 15 exons. Lineage: Eukaryota; Viridiplantae; Streptophyta; Magnoliopsida; Fabales; Fabaceae. The record is from RefSeq and is a predicted model, not a curated record.
UAAUUUAAAUUUUACAUUGACCCUAUACCGUUUCGUCUUUAACCUCUCUCGCCACUAUUUUGCUGCUUCAGUGUUCCAACAAGAAGAAGAAUCAUGGUCUGGGGUCUCUUCCCCGUCGAUCCUCUUUCCGGUGAAGAUAAUUACUACAUUUUCAAAACUGGAACUUACAAAGUUGGUCGAAAAGGUUGUGAUGUAAUCGUCACUAAGGAUAAAGGGGUUUCUCGGGUUCAUGCUGAAAUAGUUGUUAAUACAAUGAACACGUCAAAUCCUCUACCAAAUGUACAGAUAAGAGACUGCUCCAAGUACGGAACAUUUGUCAGCAAGAAUAUUGGGCUUAAGAAAAAAGUUCAUGAGCUACCAAACAAAGAAACAGCAUUACAUGAUGGUGACCUUGUUUCUUUUGGCACUGGUAGUGCUACCUACAAGUUUCGCCAUGUUCCCCUCAUUCUUUUCAUCUGUUCCUCAAAUAAAGUGGACCGAUCUUUGGCAAAGAAGAUUUCAUCAAUUGGUGCCAGUAUUGCUCAUACCUUGAAUGAAGAGUGCACACACGUGCUGGUAGAUCAACUCACGCCCUUAAAGAAGGAUCUUGUUGAUGCAGUUGUCGCAAAAAAGCCUUGUGUUCUCAAAACUUGGCUCGAGUUUUUUGCAGAAAACAACAUUAGCAAUGAAAUUCCGAGCUCUCAUUCACACAUUCCAACAGUGUCAGUGGAAGGAGCAUCUAUCAAAGUUGCUGAUCCCAAAACUCGUGAAAACUGUUUGAAAGGAUACACUUUUGUGUUGGAAUCUGAGGAUUUGUAUAAAUUUGGGGAUCAGCUAAAGUCUUUACUGGAAGUAGCUGGUGCUAAAACUAUUUCAUUUCAAGACUUCUCUUCUAAUAGCCUUGGUUCAGAUUACGGAGAUGAUAAUCGUAUGGUUUGUGUCACCCCAGAAGGAGCGGCAUGCAAACCUGAUUUCAUUAAAUUAUUAAGUUCCUUGCAAAAAGUCAAUGAGAUGGGUAUAAUAAAUGCUGCUCUCAGUGGACAUCUAGACCUGUCUAUUUUAAAAUCACCAUGCGUGCUUAUUUCAUCGUCAUGCUCUACAGACGAGACAAUUGUAGCAGAUUCAGAUACUGAAGUUGAAACAGCCACAUCACCCGUUGCAAGUGAGGCAUUAUGUGGUGGAAAUAAUGUAAAAUAUGUAAAAACAGAAGAAUUAGAUCAUGAUGAUGAUUCCAGCACUUCAUUCAAGAGAAAAGAUGAGAGAAUGGAACCAACCUUAGAUGAUAUAUCUACCAGUUUGCAUGAAAUAAAACAUGCAAAAACAGACAUAUCCCUGGACACUUCUAUCCAAUCUGAUACACAUGCUACCAGCUUCAAGGAUGGAACUGGCGGCAUCAAAGUGAAGAAAGACAAGGUGGAUGAUUAUGGAAGUGGAAAUUCAGAUAUUGUUUACAGCCAAAAUUUAGUUGUUCGAGAUAUACAUAAACUUACCAACAGAAGUUCUGCACCAAACAGCGGUGUUCCAAAUUUCAAACGAUUUAGAAAGCCACAAACUCAAUCUGGAAAUAGUUUCAACAACCUUGUUCCAUUUGCAAAAUAUCCAUACAAGGAUUCUGGCUAUGGAAAUGAUGAGACAGCUGAGUAUGUUAAGGAGGAGAAAAGACGAAAACAAAGAGAAGCCGUGGCUGAUGAUCUAUUUAAUAAUCAGAAGGCAAAAAAACGAGGCACAGCUGGUUCUCUUCACGGCAUGCUUACUAGUACUAGAUGAAAUUUUUUUCCUGUGAAAAAGUGAACAUGAUGACAUAUAGCAGAAGGCUUCCUCCUUGUAUAUGAACUUUGAACAUACUGCACUUACAUGUGUGUCCCAAUUACAAGGUUUUGGCUGCAUGUGAAGGUUUGUGGCACAGUUUUAAGAUUAUUUCUACAGCUCAAAAUUGGUGAGACAUAGGUUUCCUUUGAAAAAUUGUGGGUACACGUGGUUGAAUUUAAUUAGUUUGUGGAUAACUAAUUUUUUUUUUUAAAGGGAACCUAAAACUUACCAUUAAAUUUUGUAUGAUAAGUUAUAUUUAUUCUCCUCUUUUGUCACAUACAAAACCUGUUAUUUACUUGCAUCUUUCUAUUCUUAUAGCAACUGCAACAUUUUCCUAUUUAAUGCUAUUUCAACUCUCGUGGUCCCUUAUGGUCAAGGAUACCACCAUCACAUGGGACCUAAAAAAUUAAUUUUGGUUUCAUAAUUUUCAAACCAUAAUGGCAUUUACACUUUUUGCACUGGGCCAUACUAUAAAGUUAACAUUCUUUUUUGUUCUAGAUGACCAAAAUUUUCAAGAGCUACAAUAUUUGUUUUUCUUCGUCUAGAUGGAUAAAUAUGGAUGGAAGUGAUUUUUAAGAAGGAAGAGAGAUAACUGCCAAUUUCUUUUGGUUAACCCAAGCAUCAAUCAUCGCCAUCUUUUUGUGGAAUCAUGUUUUCCACGAAAUUAAUAUUAGAGCUAGAACAUUCACACAUACUAUAUCAUUUCUCUUCAACAUCAAUUUCAACUAAAUUAAGUUUAAAUUAUUCAAAAUCGUAUUUGCCAACAAAUAAGAAGCGUUAGCUUUGAAAAAAACCAACGGAAUACUAUAUCAUUUCUCUUCAACAUCAAUUUCAACUAAAUUAGGUUUAAAUUAUUCAGAAUCGUAUUU